This 285-nucleotide unclassified non-coding RNA is filed under the name rhizosphere metagenome. Its description in RNAcentral is "partial ribosomal RNA internal transcribed spacer region". The record is from RNAcentral.
GUAGGUGAACCUGCGGAAGGAUCAUUAUUGAAUAAACUUGGUUGGGUUGCUGCUGGCUCUCCGGAGCAUGUGCACACUCACUCCAUUUUUAACCACCUGUGCACAUACUGUAGGCCUGAAUGAACUUUGUCGAGGAAACUCGGUUUGAGAACUGCUCAGCUGUUCUUGUAUUUCAGGUCUAUGUUUUUAAACAUAUACUCCAUAACAAGUUAUAGAAUAUUAAUUAUGGGCCUUCUGUGCCUUUAAAACCUAAUACAACUUUCAACAACGGAUCUCUUGGCUCUC